Molecule: ribosomal RNA, 440 nt
Filed under: uncultured bacterium
Lineage: Bacteria
Description: partial 16S ribosomal RNA
Rfam family: Bacterial small subunit ribosomal RNA
Source: RNAcentral
CCUACGGGUGGCAGCAGUGGGGGAUAUUGCACAAUGGGCGAAACCCUGAUGCAGCGACGCCGCGUGAGUGAAGAAGCGCCUCGGCGCGUAAAGCCCUGUCAGCAGGGAAGAAAAUGACGGUACCUGAAGAAGAAGCCCCGGCUAACUACGUGCCAGCAGCCGCGGUAAUACGUAGGGGGCAAGCGUUAUCCGGAUUUACUGGGUGGAAAGGGGGCGCAGACGGCGGUGCAAGCCAGGAGUGAAAGCCCGGGGCCCAACCCCGGGACUGCUCUUGUAACUGCUUGGCUCGAGUGCAGGAGGGGCAGGCGGAAUUCCGGGUGUAGCGGUGAAAUGCGUAGAUAUCAGGAGGAACACCGGUGGCGAAGGCGGCCUGCUGGACUGCAACUGACGUUGAGGCCCGAAAGCGUGGGGAGCAAACAGGAUUAGAUACCCCUGUAGUC